Molecule: ribosomal RNA, 441 nt
Filed under: uncultured bacterium
Lineage: Bacteria
Description: bacterial SSU rRNA
Rfam family: Bacterial small subunit ribosomal RNA
Source: RNAcentral
CCUACGGGCGGCAGCAGUAGGGAAUUUUCCACAAUGGGCGAAAGCCUGAUGGAGCAACGCCGCGUGCAGGAUGAAGGCCUUCGGGUUGUAAACUGCUUUUUUCUGUGACGAUUAUGACGGUAGCAGACGAAUAAGGACCGGCUAACUACGUGCCAGCAGCCGCGGUCAUACGUAGGGUCCAAGCGUUAUCCGGAAUUACUGGGCGUAAAGAGUUGCGUAGGUGGCAGAGUAAGUAGGUAGUGAAAGCACACGGCUCAACCGUGUAUCCAUUACCUAAACUGCUCAGCUAGAAGAUGAGAGAGGUCGCUAGAAUUCCUAGUGUAGGAGUGAAAUCCGUAGAUAUUAGGAGGAAUACCGAUGGCGUAGGCAGGCGACUGGCUCAUUCUUGACACUAAGGCACGAAAGCGUGGGGAGCAAACGGGAUUAGAUACCCGUGUAGUC